GAGCGGGCGUAGCAAUACGUCAGCGGCAGACGGGUGAGUAACGCGUGGGAACGUACCUUUUGGUUCGGAACAACCCAGGGAAACUUGGGCUAAUACCGGAUAAGCCCUUACGGGGAAAGAUUUAUCGCCGAAAGAUCGGCCCGCGUCUGAUUAGCUAGUUGGUGAGGUAAUGGCUCACCAAGGCGACGAUCAGUAGCUGGUCUGAGAGGAUGAUCAGCCACAUUGGGACUGAGACACGGCCCAAACUCCUACGGGAGGCAGCAGUGGGGAAUAUUGGACAAUGGGCGCAAGCCUGAUCCAGCCAUGCCGCGUGAGUGAUGAAGGCCCUAGGGUUGUAAAGCUCUUUUGUGCGGGAAGAUAAUGACGGUACCGCAAGAAUAAGCCCCGGCUAACUUCGUG
RNAcentral lists this ribosomal RNA (399 nucleotides) under uncultured bacterium. RNAcentral's name for it is "bacterial SSU rRNA". It matches the Rfam family "Bacterial small subunit ribosomal RNA", at positions 64 to 507 of the family's 1533-position model. The record is from RNAcentral.